Molecule: ribosomal RNA, 570 nt
Filed under: uncultured bacterium
Lineage: Bacteria
Description: bacterial SSU rRNA
Rfam family: Bacterial small subunit ribosomal RNA
Source: RNAcentral
AGAGUUUGAUCCUGGCUCAGGACGAACGCUGGCGGCGUGCUUAACACAUGCAAGUCGAGCGGUGAAGCCCUUCGGGGUGGAUCAGCGGCGAACGGGUGAGUAACACGUGAGCAACCUACCCCUGGCACUGGGAUAACCCCGGGAAACCGGGGCUAAUACCGGAUAUGACGCCAUCGGGCAUCCGAUGACGUGGAAAGAAUUUUGGCCAAGGAUGGGCUCACGGCCUAUCAGCUAGUUGGUGGGGUAACGGCCCACCAAGGCGACGACGGGUAGCCGGCCUGAGAGGGCGACCGGCCACACUGGGACUGAGACACGGCCCAGACUCCUACGGGAGGCAGCAGUGGGGAAUAUUGCGCAAUGGGCGAAAGCCUGGCGCAGCAACGCCGCGUGAGGGAUGAAGGCCUUCGGGUUGUAAACCUCUUUCAGCAGGGAAGAAGCGCAAGUGACGGUACCUGCAGAAGAAGCACCGGCUAACUACGUGCCAGCAGCCGCGGUAAUACGUAGGGUGCAAGCGUUGUCCGGAAUUAUUGGGCGUAAAGAGCUCGUAGGCGGUCUGUCGCGUCUGCUGUG